GUACUUUUGGUAAACCGAGUUCGUCUUUUGGUAAGCAUGUGCGGCUCUUAUCCAAAGCUGGGACAGACUCUGGUCAUGCUGAGCUCUCCAGCUGGAUCUCUGACAUGAAGAAUGAAGAUGUACUUAAAUUGUCCAGUCCAGUCUUGGAUCCGUCUGUCAGUAACUUCUGAGAAGCUAGAAAUGUAAUCAGGCUGACAAAGGCUGAGUUGGAAAUCACUUUUUAAAAGGUUUCUGAGGAGAAUUCCAGGAACAAUAGAAGUCGCCCUACCUGGAUUCCAGGAAUUCCUUCUCGCCGGCUUUUGGCCACGUGACUCUGACGUCACAAGGAAAUCCUAUCUGGCUUUUGAUCAGCACACGUGAAUCUUCUCCAAAGUUGGACUGGCGUC
Long non-coding RNA from Grammomys surdaster, 386 nucleotides. RefSeq lists it as uncharacterized. The transcript is spliced from 3 exons. The record is from RefSeq and is a predicted model, not a curated record. NCBI's taxonomy places the organism in Eukaryota, Metazoa, Chordata, Mammalia, Rodentia, Muridae.